GAGUUUGAUCAUGGCUCAGAUUGAACGCUGGCGGCAUGCUUUACACAUGCAAGUCGAACGGUAACAGGCCGCAAGGUGCUGACGAGUGGCGAACGGGUGAGUAAUGCAUCGGAACGUGCCCAGUCGUGGGGGAUAACGCAGCGAAAGCUGCGCUAAUACCGCAUACGAUCUAUGGAUGAAAGCGGGGGACCGUAAGGCCUCGCGCGAUUGGAGCGGCCGAUGUCAGAUUAGGUAGUUGGUGGGGUAAAGGCUCACCAAGCCGACGAUCUGUAGCUGGUCUGAGAGGACGACCAGCCACACUGGGACUGAGACACGGCCCAGACUCCUACGGGAGGCAGCAGUGGGGAAUUUUGGACAAUGGGCGCAAGCCUGAUCCAGCAAUGCCGCAUGCAGGAAGAAGGCCUUCGGGUUGUAAACUGCUUUUGUACGGAACGAAAAGGCUCUGGAUAAUACCUGGGGCUCAUGACGGUACCGUAAGAAUAAGCACCGGCUAACUCUGUGCCAGCAGCCGCGGUAAUACAGAGGGUGCAAGCGUUAAUCGGAA
Molecule: ribosomal RNA, 544 nt
Filed under: uncultured organism
Description: bacterial SSU rRNA
Rfam family: Bacterial small subunit ribosomal RNA
Source: RNAcentral